RNAcentral lists this long non-coding RNA (295 nucleotides) under Centruroides sculpturatus (bark scorpion). Its description in RNAcentral is "uncharacterized LOC111637353, transcript variant X2". Lineage: Eukaryota; Metazoa; Arthropoda; Arachnida; Scorpiones; Buthidae. The record is from RNAcentral.
GGUAACAGCUAGUUUGUGACAUGUCACUGCUCAAACUACUCGUCCAAGCUAACUGCUUCGAGAACAUCAUCUCGAGUUUGUCGAUGUCACCGAUAUAAUCCAUCCAAAGAAGAUGUGGUAAAGUUUUCCAAACCUGAUUAUCUUUCAAGUGAUUUUGUGAUUUCUCCGAAUGAAAUACAUAAACAUAUAACAUUUCCUUUUUCCACGCUCUGUAAGUACAAGAAAUUCAGAUGUAAAUUAAACAAACUGAAUGGAACUGAAUUCAAUAAUUUUGUGGAACAAGUAAAAAAUGGGG